GACGAACGCUGGCGGCGUGCUUAACACAUGCAAGUCGAACGGAAAGGCCCUGCUUUUGUGGGGUGCUCGAGUGGCGAACGGGUGAGUAACACGUGAGUAACCUGCCCUUGACUUUGGGAUAACUUCAGGAAACUGGGGCUAAUACCGGAUAGGAGCUCCUGCUGCAUGGUGGGGGUUGGAAAGUUUCGGCGGUUGGGGAUGGACUCGCGGCUUAUCAGCUUGUUGGUGGGGUAGUGGCUUACCAAGGCUUUGACGGGUAGCCGGCCUGAGAGGGUGACCGGCAGCACGGGAGGUGAGAUGAGGCAGAGCCGCCUGGGGGGGGCAGCAGGGGGGGAGGGUGGACAAGGGGCUGCAGUCGGAUGCAGCACCGGCGCGUGAGGGAUGAAGGCCGGCGGAUGGUAAAACACUAGCGCCGGUGACGAAGGGUGAGUGAGGGGAAGGGGUAAAGGAGCGCGGAAUCGGGAGGUG
RNAcentral lists this ribosomal RNA (468 nucleotides) under uncultured bacterium. RNAcentral's name for it is "partial 16S ribosomal RNA". It matches the Rfam family "Bacterial small subunit ribosomal RNA", at positions 28 to 507 of the family's 1533-position model. The record is from RNAcentral.